This 1872-nucleotide unclassified non-coding RNA is filed under the name Hevea brasiliensis (rubber tree). Lineage: Eukaryota; Viridiplantae; Streptophyta; Magnoliopsida; Malpighiales; Euphorbiaceae. The record is from RNAcentral.
AAGUAAUUUCAAAUGGAGGUUCCCCAGAAUGCAACAUUCCCCUUACAAUCAAUUAAAAGGCAGAUUCAGCUACAUAAAAAUAACAGAUGAUAAAAGCUAAUAUACAGGGCAAGCUACAGAUAGUCAGAUACCAUUAGAAGCUACAACAGACUCUGUAAAUUAAAAAAGUACAACAAUAACAGUAAGGUGGAGAUGAAGAAGAAAACAUCCAAAAUCCAAAGUAAGUUUUGCAUUUUCAAAUAAUUCGAGUCAAAGGGCAACAUAAUAAAACUCCUGCAAUUGUCAGGGACAAAGGAGACUAAAAACUAUAUAGUUUCUACUUUGAAAACUAAUAUACCCUGCAGGCUGAGGCUGCAGCUCAGUCUAUAUCAUUCAUCCCACGAAUGCUGCCAGGUGAAAUUAGGCUUUCAGUGUAGACAAUAGCUUUCUGAUAGCGGCCAUCUCCGAGGCCUUGAAUAUGAAGGUCAUGAUAUCUGUGGCCAUCAUACAUCACAAACCACCUGCGUCUCACAGAGACUAGAAGUUUGCCACUCUUGGUGAAGCAUUUUGGAUGCAAGCGAUAACAUAUUCGAAAAUGAGAUUCUUGACUUGAGAUUUUCGGGAUGCUCAUCAUUUUUGUCCAAAUCACUCUUACCUCACCGUUUUCUUCCUUCUCCUCCUUCAUUACCCACAGUGUGGUCAUACUGGCGAAACACACAAAGCGAAUCCCCCCAAAGAAGUAAGUUCAAUUCAGCCACUACAAUGAAUUCCUCCUCUUCCUGAAACCAAAUAGGCCGAGAAAUGGAUGGAUCAAAAGGAGGAGUAACCUCCCUAAAUGUUUCGUCUGAUAGGUUGAGACGUAAAAUUCGGUCUGCGAAUUUGUGGGUCUUGCUAGCAGCCCAGUAAAGACAACCAUUCGCAGGAACCCCCUCAUAGAAAAGGGAGUAAGGUAACUCUCCAAGAUUUCUCCACAAGUUCCUUUUCACUGAAAAAACAUGAACCUGUUUUUCACACAAACUCACCACUUUAUAAUCAUCCAUGCUCGAAUCGAAGCCGAGCCCACAUACUCCCCCACAGAUACCUAUCUCCUUAGGGAGGGGUAAUGUCCUACAGUCUCCAAUUGAUAGAUUCCAUAAAACAAGGGUGUGAUCAUCUCCAAUGGAUAAACCGAGCAUGCCAUGGCAGCAACCAGUCUUGAUCUCGAAAGAUUUUCCUCUGAUAAGAGGAAAAUCAAUCUCCACAGCAAUCCUGAAAGAACCUUCUUACCCACCACCGAAAGAAUACAAAUUAGACUCUGAUCCUUCAACUUGUCUGCGUUUGUUAUAAGAAAGAAUGAGACUGCUCUGGUUAUGAGGGCAGUGAGAAAGAGGAUCGCAGUAGAGAUGGCGAUGGAGCAGCCAGUAAGGGAAUCUAGAGUGGGUGAUAAAUUGAAGCCAAGGCUUCGAUACACACCUGAAUCGGACCAGAGAUUUUAGCGGCAGCCCGGAGAGGAUGUCGGAGACGAUAUCAGCAGGAAGAUGUUUGGCUGCCACAGUCAUGUCUGAUCGAUCAGAGGACUCAAAAUUCUAACACUGUUCUAGGUUUGCUCCUGGAGGGUCAGGUCAGGUAAGAUGAACCGAUCACUAGGUUUUUCUGUUUGACUUGAAGAAGAAAGAAGAAUGAUACUAGGGACUGUCUGGAAUUCAAGAAAAACGAAACAGUGUAGGAAACUCUGGGGGACAAUAAAGAAUAGACAUGUCUCAAAGUUCUGAUCGAGGAAUGCUCAAGACUCUGGAGCCACACUUAGAUAGAGGCAUCAGAUGCCAUAUGGAGUUCGACGGAACGAACUUGCUGCGAGAAAGUCACUGAUAUAAGCAACAACCCAUAUAAAUUUCAUAAAUUAGCGAAUAUCCG